CCCCUCACUUUCUACCUUUUAAAUUUAAAACAUCGACUUGAACAGUUGCACGAAAAAUUUACAUUAUCCAUGCUGGCCAUUCUUACCCACACUGGAGUUAUUGACUAAACAUCGCUUUGCAGGACGGGAGUUUUUUUUUUCAGAAGACAAUUUAUGUUUUUUCCAACAAGCUUUAAAAGCGUACGUGCUAAAAUUCACAUAAAUUGGGAUUAAUAUGUAAUUUAUUUAAGUCAGGAUGAGCGAAUUUUCCCCGUUUACGCGCAUGUGCUAAGAAGUUACGGUGAGUGACGUAAUUUAUCAAUAUAGAACUAUACCUUAAUGUAACUGUGUUGUUUUUAUAUCAGAACUGACGAUGCACAGCGAGAAAGCAGAACAAUUCAUUACUGAAAAACGUAAAUAUAAUAAUGUACAGAUUGCAGGAUGGUACUGAAUGUUGCUUCAUGUUACUUCAUGUUAUUGUGAGUGUUACAUGAUGGAACUAAACGUCACUGCAUGUCCCUGAAUGUUUCUUGAUGUGAAUGGAAGUGAUGAACGUUAAUGGUUUCAAAUCGAUGAAGAUUUGAUAAAAAGGAGCAUCAGCACAGUAAAUAAAUUCGUUUCUUUGGCCUAUUAAAUCAAGAAGAAAUUACGUUACAAGUGAGCCUGUUGUCAAACUGCUAAAUACAUGAGUGGCCUCAAGUUUCAUGGAACACCAUCUUAACAAAGAAGAAGAUCAAAAAUCUUUCUGGUAACGUGAUCUCAAGUUGCUUACACCAUUGGUUUACACGCAUGCAUAUCAUUUAAUACGAGUGAAAUCAAUGCGCGUGCGCAGGAAAAGCCACAAAUUAAUCCCACUCUGGUUAAGCCUAGCAACAUUUAAUUAGUUCGCAGCUUGCCUCGUGACUUUAUAAUGAAGAGAAGUAUUUCUCGAACUAUAAACUGCAUUGUUGAUGGGAACUAUUCGGGGAGCCUGCACUUUUUGAUAUUCAAUCUUUGACCUCGUUUAGUUCGGUCUAAAUUUAAUUCAUUAAAAACGGUGGGGGCUGUGAAAACUUAAAAAGGUGCGAAUCUUCCAUUCACACUGUGUGAUAACAUUUACACAUGAAAUUUAAUUAAACUAUUAAUGAAACA
Molecule: long non-coding RNA, 1110 nt
Organism: Xenia sp. Carnegie-2017
Lineage: Eukaryota; Metazoa; Cnidaria; Anthozoa; Malacalcyonacea; Xeniidae
Exons: 2
Source: RefSeq, a predicted model, not a curated record